Long non-coding RNA from Esox lucius (northern pike), 226 nucleotides. RefSeq lists it as uncharacterized. The transcript has 3 exons. The record is from RefSeq and is a predicted model, not a curated record. Lineage: Eukaryota; Metazoa; Chordata; Actinopteri; Esociformes; Esocidae.
AGACACAGGAGAAUAAUAGGCAGGAUGAAAGAGAGAAAGAACAGACUGACCCAGAGAGUGAGGGAGAAGAAUUUCCAGAGAGCACAAGCCCAAGAGAAAUGUUAGCACUUUCUCAGACAGUUCAGGAGACAGACUUUGAGAAUGAAGAGGAGCCAACUAACCACACUGACCCAAUAGGACCUCCAGACAUUUCCACAUCAAGAGCUGGUGGUCCAGUCCAGCCACA